UACGAAGGGUGCAAGCGUUACUCGGGAUUACUGGGCGUAAAGCGUGCGUAGGUGGUGAGUUAAGUCUGUCGUGAAAGCCCCGGGCUCAACCUGGGAAUGGCGAUGGAUACUGGCUCGCUAGAGUGCGGUAGAGGAGAGUGGAAUUCCCGGUGUAGCAGCGAAAUGCGUAGAGAUCGGGAGGAACAUCAGUUGCGAAGGCGGCUCUCUGGACCAGCACUGACACUGAGGCACGAAAGCGUGGGGAGCAAACAGG
This 253-nucleotide ribosomal RNA is filed under the name uncultured bacterium. RNAcentral describes it as "partial 16S ribosomal RNA". It matches the Rfam family "Bacterial small subunit ribosomal RNA", at positions 524 to 776 of the family's 1533-position model. The record is from RNAcentral.